Molecule: transfer RNA, 71 nt
Filed under: Marseillevirus LCMAC202
Lineage: Varidnaviria; Bamfordvirae; Nucleocytoviricota; Megaviricetes; Pimascovirales; Marseilleviridae
Description: tRNA-Ala
Rfam family: tRNA
About the family: Transfer RNA (tRNA) molecules are approximately 80 nucleotides in length. Their secondary structure includes four short double-helical elements and three loops (D, anti-codon, and T loops).
Source: RNAcentral
GGACUUGUAGUUCAAUGGUAGAAUUUCGUCUUUGCGAGACGAGGAUUUCGGUUCGAUUCCGGACAGGCCCA